UUACAAUGGCUAAUCACAUACGUUUUGAAAUCUUAUUCUUAAUGUUUGACGCAAGUUGCAUUAAAAAGUAUAAAUAGGUUUCAGAAUUGUGUUGUUUUAGAACGUUGCUUUCACAAUCAUUUAAGAACACUCAUAUGCAUGGACAACUGAUUUCAUCUUAUGAGGUGUGUUACCUUUAACCAUAUGGAUGAUGAUGUAUUUGUGCAAAUUUUCCAUGUUGCUUCCCAGAAUGCAAAUGUAAAUUCUCAAAAUACAAUGCUCUCAAAGCUCAUGUUUAUCGCCAUCACAAAAGACCACAUACUCAUUUUGAUGAUACGAUGGGCACGUUUGUUUGCAACAAUACAGACUGUCAACAACAAUUUACAGACAUGAACAAUGUCCUUUCUCAUCUCAGGUCACAUUUAGCCAAGGGAGAGGUGGUGUGUUGUCCUUUUGAAAAAUGUGACAAAAAUUUCAGUUUAAGAUCAAGUUUCACUGCCCAUGUUUCACGAAAGCACAGGACUUCUACAUUUGCACAAUUACGGAUUAUGGAUACUUUAUCUGAGCAACCUUCUUCAGCAUUUUUUGAUGUUACUGAGGAUGAGGUUGAUGAAAGUGAAUUCACAGACUCCCUGACGAAAUGUAACGCAAAGUCAUUGUACAUGAAAAAUCUCUGCCUGUUUUAUAUGCAGCUACAAGCAAAAUACCUGGUGCCAUCGUCAACCAUUCAGAUGAUUGUGGAGGAAUUCAGUGGUUUAAAUUAUAUCUGUUAUCAGUACACACAGAAGAUGUUCAGGGAAAUACUCAAGUCAAAAACGGCCCUCUCACAAUGUGAGAUUGAAUCUGUGGUGCAGACUUUGCAAGGCCAAGAUUUACACUCAGCUUGUAAUUCAUUACUUUCCACAGAAUACCAAAGAAGACAGUAUUAUCAGAAAAAAUUUUCGUACGUGCAUCCACAAAGUAUGUGUCUUGGUCGUGAUGAGAACCGAAACCAACGUUAUGCACAGUAUAUUCCAUUGAAGAACACUUUAAAAACCAUGUUAAUAGACCCAGUGGUGUGGGAGCAGUGUGCCAGACAUCAGCAUGUACACUCUUCUGUGUUCUCUGACAUCUGUGAUGGCUCUGUAUUCAAAUCCAAUGACUUGUUUAAGCAGCCUGAGAUUACAAUCCAAUUUAUCUUGUACCAGGAUGCCUUUGAGAUUGUGAAUCCCCUUGGGUCAGAUAAAAAAAGACACAAAAUGAUUGGAGUGUAUUUUACACUUGGCAACUUUGAGCCAUUUUACAGAUCAUGCAUUGAUAACAUUCAGUUAUCACUUUUGUGUUAUGAGAGAGACUUUAACUAUUUUGGUCAAACCAAGAUUUUUGCUAAGUUGUUGGCAGAUGUCAAAGAACUUGAAGAGCAUGGAUUUGUGACAUCUUCAGGUGACAUAGUACGUGCAACAAUAGUGGCUAUUAUCUGUGAUAAUUUGGGGUCCCACUGCAUCGGUGGGUACUCACAGAACUUCAGUACUGCCAAGCAUUGCUGUAGGUAUUGCUUGGUAUCUCGCAGUGAACUUCAGAAUGUGUAUGUAGACUUUCCCAAUCGCACAGUUGAGUCCUAUAAGGAGGCAGUGGAAACUCUAAGGACGACCGAAGAAAAUGUUGUUAAUGGGUUGAAGUUUGACUCCAUUUUCAACUCUCUCAAGUAUUUUCAUGUUGCUCAGCCUGGCCUUCCCCCAUGCCUUGGCCACAAUUUGUUUGAAGGCGUUGUAGUUAUUGAUCUUGGCAUUUUCUUGGAAUACUUUGUAAAAAGGAAGUGGUUUUCAUAUACACAGCUGAACAGGAGACUUGCACAAUUCAAAUAUGUGGAUUCUGAUGCUGGUUCUGCCCCCUCCCAGAUAUGUGAAAAAGGCAGAAAGUUAGGUGGUCAAGCAGCUGAGAACUGGUGUCUCCUCAGAUUUCUUCCUGUCAUAAUUGGAGACCGAGUAGAGUCACAAGACCCUGUAUUGCAACUGACUGUUAAGUUAAAAGAACUGGUUGAGCUAGUAUGUGCUCCCAAGAUUACCACAGCACAGAUUGCAUAUCUCAAUGUCUUAAUACCAGAAUAUCUGGAAACAAGAAAGGAGCUGUUUCCUGGUGAAAAUUUGAAACCAAAACAUCAUUACAUGCUUCACUAUACGUCACUCAUUUUAAGUCUUGGACCUUUAAUUUGUUUGUGGUCAUUGAGAUUUGAAAGCAAACAUUCCUACUUCAAAAGAAGUGUGAGAAGAACACAGAACUUCAAAAAUGUAUGCAAGACAUUGUCACACAACCAUCAACUUCUUCAAGCAUAUCUUCACUCACGGUCCUUUUUUUCACCAAAGCUUAAAAGUGUUGACUUGGCCACAUACUCUCCUCAUUUGUACAGUUAUGCUGUGUGCAAAGCUGUUGAGACAAGCUUGCUUAAUGAACCAGACUUUGUUUCCACACGUGUAGAAUACAAGGGUACCCUGUACAGGAAAGGAAACUUAAUUUGCCUUAAAUGUGAAGAGGAGUAUUCUAUUUUACAGUUUGGACAGAUUGAGCUGAUUUUCGUGAAAGAUGAUGAGGUGACUUUCCUUGUGACUCCCCGCCCCUCAGUGUAUUUGCAUGAUUAUGGACUUUAUGAGAUUUAGUCUGUGACAAAGGAAUUAAUUUGUGUAAAAGCUGAGGAAUGUCUGGAUUAUUAUCCCUUAAAUGAGUACAGUUUUAUGGGACUGAAGGUCAUUACUCUGAAGCACAGCGUUGUUCAUCUGUAAAAAGGAUUAACUGUCCUCUCCCAACAGAAAUGGAUGCAUUGUUGAUUUUUAUUGAGAAUGUGUUCCCAAACCCUAUAACUUCAAAGCUAGCCAUAGAGGGUUUGAACAGCCUAGGUGUGGAGACCAUAGAUGACCUACAGGUUUGAAAGAUGAUGAUCUAGGUGGCUUUCUGUGACCGAUUGAAGCAAGAAAACUAAUAGCCCAAAUCCCAAGUGACAGUAGCUGUGAAACUUCGUUUUAUGACCAUGACUGGCAUUAUAGUUUUGAUGUUCCAUGGCAAAAAAUGCCAGCAAGUUUUAUGGGAAAGUUGCAAAAUGGCGAAAGGCCAAGUUGCUCUGAGAGAAGACAGUUGGUCCGCAUUGUUGCUUCUGAGAUCCUGGAAGUCAGCAAAUGUCCAGCAAAAAAACAUGUACUGUAUCAGAAAUAGCCCGACAAAUGGUGAUUGCAUACCCAAAGUCUUUCAGAGAUGAGAUUAAUUCCCAGGUUGUAGGAAGUGGAUAUGAUUCUCUCCUCAAACAACUGGUGUGUAGAAUUGACAAUUUGAAAAGAGCAAAAGCUAUUAGUAUACCACUUUGUGGUACUCUAUCAACAAAGAAACGAAAAUUGUUAUAUGGUUGUAUAAAUUCUGAUCCACAACUGCUAGUUGGAGAAACAUCCGAAUUGCAGCAGGAAAAGAAAGAGAAGUUGGUAGUAAUGUUUCAUAAUAAUGAAAGUGAUGUAAAGACAAUCUAUGACUUAAUGACUUCUACAUACACCCCUCAAAGAAACAACAUCCAAUCUGGAAAGGAAACCAAAGAUUUACUUGAUGAGUGGCCGUAUCUUUUUCAGCCAGCAGGAAUGAAAGCACACUUUAAAGAGCUCACUGGCAUUGACAUAAACAACAGCUUUGAAGAAUCUGCUUCCAGUAAGUUCAGAAGAAUAUUGGACUACUUUCAAUUUCAGUGCACAGAAAGAGCAAGCAGAGCAGGGAGAAUCCUCACAAAGUAUAGAGCUGGAGGGGAUCAUGUUUGUGGGGCCGUGAUGUUGCUGCUAACCCAUUUCAAAAAUGACCAAGACCACUUUCUUGUGAUGGUAGAAGACACCUCUGUUCCAAGUGAUAUAUGCUCAGAACAGCUUCCAGCAACACCAUGUAUAGUAGUGUGUGGAGAGAACCCACUGACAGCCAGUGUGUACAUGGUAGCAGUAGACCAGAUGAUUGUAAAUGACCAUCUCUUGAGUUUUACAGAAGCCCUGUAUCUGAUGUUCUCUCUUUACUAUAUAUUGAACAUCAGUUACCCUGUAGAACUGGGAGCCACACUAGAAUUCUUGCAAAGUGCAUCUUUAGGAUAAAUCCUCAUAAAGGUACCAAGGUGGAAAAGAGAGAGAAAAAGAGAGUGUACUCUGUCAACCCCAGAGUAUUGAGUCUGACAUCAAAAAUUGCUGCAUUUGAUUGGGGAGAGUAACAGGUAUAGAAGCUCUGUUGUCUUGUAUAGUAGUGGUAGACUUCAUCUUCUGUGUUUAUCAUUCAUCGAUGAUAAAGUGGACCAAAGGACAAUCAUUUUUAGAAUUAACUCCAAUAAAUGUGAUGUAAUUGUCUGUGGCCAAAACUGAGAGUAUUUGGUUAAGGCUUGUUGCUGUCUCUGCUCUUCUUUUGGUUUGGGUUUUAAUUGUAACUGUUUGUGUCCCCACAGAUG
Carassius auratus (goldfish) is the source of this 4408-nucleotide RNA transcript. RefSeq lists it as uncharacterized. The transcript is spliced from 4 exons. The record is from RefSeq and is a predicted model, not a curated record. Lineage: Eukaryota; Metazoa; Chordata; Actinopteri; Cypriniformes; Cyprinidae.